ACUCCUACGGGAGGCAGCAGUGGGGAAUAUUGCACAAUGGGCGCAAGCCUGAUGCANCCAUGCCAGCGUGUGUGAANAAGGCCUUCGGGUUGUAAAGCACUUUCAGUCAGGAGGAAAGGUUAGUAGUUAAUACCUGCUAGCUGUGACGUUACUNACAGAAGAAGCACCGGCUAACUCC
This 178-nucleotide ribosomal RNA is filed under the name uncultured Gammaproteobacteria bacterium. Its description in RNAcentral is "partial 16S ribosomal RNA". It matches the Rfam family "Bacterial small subunit ribosomal RNA", at positions 335 to 504 of the family's 1533-position model. The record is from RNAcentral. Lineage: Bacteria; Pseudomonadati; Pseudomonadota; Gammaproteobacteria.